RNAcentral lists this ribosomal RNA (232 nucleotides) under Brevibacillus centrosporus. Its description in RNAcentral is "partial 16S ribosomal RNA". It matches the Rfam family "Bacterial small subunit ribosomal RNA", at positions 1 to 235 of the family's 1533-position model. The record is from RNAcentral. Lineage: Bacteria; Bacillati; Bacillota; Bacilli; Caryophanales; Paenibacillaceae.
UUAUUGGAGAGUUUGAUCCUGGCUCAGGACGAACGCUGGCGGCGUGCCUAAUACAUGCAAGUCGAGCGAGUCUCUUCGGAGGCUAGCGGCGGACGGGUGAGUAACACGUAGGCAACCUGCCCGUAAGACUGGGAUAACAUAGGGAAACUUAUGCUAAUACCAGAUAGAGUCUACUCUCGCAUGAGGGAAGACGGAAAGGUGGCGCAAGCUAUCACUUACGGAUGGGCCUGCG